AGAGUUUGAUCCUGGCUCAGAGCGAACGCUGGCGGCAGGCUUAACACAUGCAAGUCGAGCGGGCGUAGCAAUACGUCAGCGGCAGACGGGUGAGUAACGCGUGGGAACGUACCUUUUGGUUCGGAACAACACAGGGAAACUUGUGCUAAUACCGGAUAAGCCCUUACGGGGAAAGAUUUAUCGCCGAAAGAUCGGCCCGCGUCUGAUUAGCUAGUUGGUGAGGUAACGGCUCACCAAGGCGACGAUCAGUAGCUGGUCUGAGAGGAUGAUCAGCCACAUUGGGACUGAGACACGGCCCAAACUCCUACGGGAGGCAGCAGUGGGGAAUAUUGGACAAUGGGCGCAAGCCUGAUCCAGCCAUGCCGCGUGAGUGAUGAAGGCCCUAGGGUUGUAAAGCUCUUUUGUGCGGGAAGAUAAUGACGGUACCGCAAGAAUAAGCCCCGGCUAACUUCGUGCCAGCAGCCGCGGUAAUACGAAGGGGGCUAGCGUUGCUCGGAAUCACUGGGCGUAAAGGGUGCGUAGGCGGGUCUUUAAGUCAGGGGUGAAAUCCUGGAGCUCAACUCCAGAACUGCCUUUGAUACUGAGGAUCUUGAGUUCGGGAGAGGU
RNAcentral lists this ribosomal RNA (606 nucleotides) under uncultured bacterium. Its description in RNAcentral is "bacterial SSU rRNA". It matches the Rfam family "Bacterial small subunit ribosomal RNA", at positions 8 to 658 of the family's 1533-position model. The record is from RNAcentral.